UACAGAGGGUGCGAGCGUUAAUCGGAUUUACUGGGCGUAAAGCGCGCGUAGGCGGCUUUGCAAGUCGGGUGUGAAAUCCCCAGGCUUAACCUGGGAACUGCAUUCGAGACUGCAUUGCUAGAGUAUGGGAGAGGGAAGUGGAAUUUCCGGUGUAGCGGUGAAAUGCGUAGAUAUCGGGAGGAACACCGGUGGCGAAGGCGGCGACCUGGGUAGAUACUGACGCUGAGGCGCGAAGGCGUGGGGAGCAAACAGG
This 253-nucleotide ribosomal RNA is filed under the name uncultured bacterium. RNAcentral describes it as "partial 16S ribosomal RNA". It matches the Rfam family "Bacterial small subunit ribosomal RNA", at positions 524 to 776 of the family's 1533-position model. The record is from RNAcentral.